RNAcentral lists this long non-coding RNA (2115 nucleotides) under Panax ginseng (ginseng). Its description in RNAcentral is "long non-coding RNA (PGIN_LNC018407)". The record is from RNAcentral. Lineage: Eukaryota; Viridiplantae; Streptophyta; Magnoliopsida; Apiales; Araliaceae.
AGAAACGGACUAAAGCAACAAAUGAGCUGAAGCAAUAAAACACGCUGGUCAAAAAUGGGCGGGUCAAAAACCCAUGCCAUAUCAGUUUCAAUUAAACGUGUUCUCUCACUCUUCCCUCUCUCUCUCUCUCAAAGCUUCCUUUCCCUCUCCCUCUCUCAAAGCGAGCCUGAAGCAAAUCGGAAGGCAAGAAGGAAUUCGAACAGGUUCUGUUGCAAAUCGAAAGCGGAAGGUUCCUACAAAGAGAAUCAUAAGGUAAAGAUUACUACUUAAUUUUGUAAUUUCUGUUUGAUUUGAAAGAUCUAGGGUUUGUUUUGGGGGAAAGUGUAUUGGUGAUUUUGUUCUCUGUUUACAAGCCCCACCACACAAAGCGGUAGUAGCCACAGGCAAGAAAUUUGAAAAAGUCUUUUCUUCCUUAUCUAGCUUGUAUGUACUGUACGUGAUGCGCAUAUAUUGUCCCUUUACAUAAUUGCAAUUGCUCUAUAUAUUUAGCUAUCUUGGAUUAGGUUUGUAUUUCUAAUUCCAAUCAUAAUUUUUUGAGUUUUUUGAUAUUAUUAUGUGAAUUUGAUUUGGAAGUUAUAGUUCUUUAAUCCCUGCUUUAGGCUCUUAUUUUUUUUCUUGUUUUUUAUGUUAUGUUGUGUUUCAUUGUUUUGGAAUUUUUUGGUAUGUUCCUAUUGUUCAUUUUCGUCUUCAUAUUAACUCCUUGAUGAAAUGCCUCAAGUUUACUGAAAUGGGGAUAGAUGUAGUGGUGUGAGGGUCUCUCUCUUAUUGAUACAUACUUAAGCAGCUUAUGGUUAUCAUGCUAUCUGCAAACUAUUUACCCUCAAGAUAAUAUUUGCUAACAAAGAAAUGCAUGAUCAUGGAGGUUUCAAACCAACACAUUCUAUUUAUGAAGCUAAGGCAGCAACAUUAUAUAUGUAGUGUAGAGAAGGCAGAGUAGAUGAACCAGUAGAAGUGAAAAAUUUGUGUGAUGAAAUAAAAUCUGCAUUUGGCUGUUGAGUAAUUGAAGAUCUCUAACCAGGUGGUGGGCUCUUAAUUAAGCCCCUGUUUAUGAGUUUUAUUUUAAGUGGAAAAGGAAAGUUCUUCCUUUAUUUUUAGGCGAAAUAUGUAGUAGUAUUAAAGAGUAGAAUUUUUAAAUGAAAACUGGUGUUCUUAAAUGAGAAUUGUUUGUACGGUUGUUAAUAGUCUAUUGAAAUUUGUUUGUACUAAUAUUACAGUAAUAUAAGUUUUAGAGAUUUUUUUAUAUCUAACAAGAUGACGUAAUUCAUUCAAAUAUACAAUUUGGAAUUAUUGUUGAUCUUUUUUAUGCAUGUCUGCUAAUAGAAAAUAUGUCAUCAGAUUCGUCUAUUGCUACAUCCGUAUGGCCUCCGUUCAUAUGUCAUUGUGGUACGGGCCCUUGUAUAGUAAAACUUUCAAUGUCGGAAAAGAAUUUGGGUAGACACUAUUAUUCUUGCCCAAGAAUGGUAUGUAUUUAUGUAUUGCAAUUUUUAUAUAUUUGUUCCUUUUACAUAAGUGAAUAAAUUUAUUGUGUCCCAAAAUAUGCAGCAAUGUGGUAACUUCAUCAGCUGGUGUGACGAAUAUGUUAGACUGUUGCAUAAUCAAGGGAGGUUGCAAAUGGACACAUCCGAGCGUUUAAAUGUAACAACUCAUCCAACAAAUACUAACGACUCCAACGAAUUAGCGAUGGUGACGAUUGAAAUGCGUUAAUUGCAACUAACUCAACGAUUUGUCAUAAUUGUUAAUGUUAUGUAUGCGGUGUUGUUGUUAAUGUUAUUAAAUCGGUUGUAAUUUUGAUAAUUUUCAUUAUUUAACUAACACAUUAUGUAUGAGAUUGGUGGAUUUAUAGGUAUUGAAUGAGAUUUCCUACUAUGUUGGUUUUACAGUAGUAGUACUUUAAAUUAAGGAACUUGGCUUCAUUCUUUAAGAUGCCUUUAAGAAAACAUUCUUCGGUAUUCAUUUCAUGUGGAGGAAUUGGCUGGAAUUUGAAUUUCUCCAAUAUAAAAUGCUGCUCACCAUUCCCGUCCAACGCCCUCAUUUAUGGUCCAAACAUGCGCACUUGUUAUAAAGGCAAUAUUCUUUUUGCAUGCUCAUUUGCAAAGCUAAGAUGCUUACAAGGAU